RNAcentral lists this long non-coding RNA (2803 nucleotides) under Nicotiana tabacum (common tobacco). RNAcentral describes it as "long non-coding RNA (NTAB_LNC003468)". The record is from RNAcentral. Lineage: Eukaryota; Viridiplantae; Streptophyta; Magnoliopsida; Solanales; Solanaceae.
CUCGUUCUAAAUUAGGGUAUGACUCUAACAGAAAAGAAGUCACGCCAUCGUGCACUUCCUAGAAGAUUUAGAAGACUCAGAGAGAAGAAGGGUUUCGUAACAGUUUAUAUACAGUUCAAACAAUAUCAAAGCGGUAAAAAGCGGCAUUUAGCACAUUAGGCUCAAACAUGUAAUAAAAUUAGAUAAUAAUUAAAAGCCAAGUAUAACAGUUAUUCUAAGCUCAAACUCUGAACCCUGAACCAGAGAUUCUGGGUCUUUUCCCCAGCAGAGUCGCUAGAGCUGUCACACCUUCUUUUUUCCGGGGGGGGGGGGGGAUAGGGAAGUUUUUUCAAUUUAAGUGACAUUAAUCGAAAUGAGAUUAUUUUAUUUAAUUCAGAGUCGCCACUUGGAAUAAUUUAUGGUGUCCCAAGUUACCGGUUUAUUUUAAAUCCCAAAUCGAGGAAAAUUGACUCUAUUUUUGGUCCGCAAAUAUAGAAGACCGGGUAAGGAAUUCUGUUAACCCGAGAGAAGGUGUUAGGCAUUCCCGGGUUUCGUGGUUUUAGCACGGUCACCCAACUAUUAAUAAUUGGCCUAAUUAUCUAAUUUAUUACAUGUUUUAAACCUAUUGUGCAUUUUCAAUUUUACACCGCUUUUAAUUAUUUAUGGAGUUAUUUCUAGAACAAGUUACGAUUGUCGUACACUUGUUUAUUUUUGUACAUGUUGCGAAUCAUGUCACGAGCACUGUACCCAUAAUCUACAAUAUGUGUAUUUUAUUAUUGUUCGAAGUUGUGGUCGGAUCACAUGAAAUGUGCACCAGAAUUUGAGAAUUAUUUAUCACGACUAUGCCACGGUAACCGUACCCAUAGCCAUGAUGAUUUACUUAAACGCGCCUAAAGCAAACUACGAAUGUUUAUGAGAUCUUAAGUUACGGUAUUUAUUUAGGUUACGUUAUGUAUAAUGAAUUAUCAUUGAAACACUUUGUGAAGUAAUUUGAUUCUAUUAUUAUGAAGAAUGCGUCACAGAAGGAGUCUAAGUUCAUCUCAACAAUAUCACCUUUAAUAGAUAUGUCUAGCAUUAAUUCUGUUUUGGGACAAAUGAAUUGACAUGGAUACAAAACAUGGAUCAAUGGUUUGGAAAUGAAUCUUUGGCAUUAAAUGCGUCCGAGCUGCAGUAGACUAUACCAAGCCUUAAUUGAUACAAUCAGAAGAAGAAACAGAGAUGGGCCUCUAUCAGAGCCCAAGCAACAUUCAAAUAGGUUCCAUUUUUUGGGACAACGUACUUCACCUAGGGAUUCAAAAGCAAUGAUCAUACAGAAUCACAUAGGCUUUGAAAUAAAUAGUUAAAACAAGAAAUGACUAACCAAAAGAAAAAUGUAUAAUAUGGAUAGAAACUCAUACGACAGACUUCAAUUAUAUUAUAAUUAAUAAUAAGAAAUGACAUUGCAUAGUCCUACUGAUUGCACUUGAUGCACUAGAUAAAUUACAUUUAUGUGAAGUGUUAUGGCCUGAUUCUGACCCCGUCUGGGCUAAUUGAUUUAACCAGCAGGGAUCCUGAUACUCCCUUCAUUACUACCCGGUUGGCUUGAAAUCUAAUCAGUGAUAGAUUUGAUCAAUUGGUGAUCAAAUUUAAUUACUGCCUAGCUUUGACCUUCACAUGCCAAUAUCAAAUCAAAAUUACACACUAAUUUCAUGAGCUAACACUCAAAUAAAGCAAUAGCAUUAUUUCCAUUAUAUGCUUAACGUUUUCUUUUUUCUUAAAACAAAUCUAGGUUUUGACUGAAGGAAUAGUUUUGAAACACUCUUCAUUAUUAAAUCAAGCAAAAAUAAUUUAAACCUAACAAAACAACCUUCAGUAGUGAUAAACCAACUUUAGCCACAUGAAACCAAACUUGCACAUCUUAUGGACACAGAAAAAGGAAGACUCAGAUUUUAGAAGUUCAUAACUAAACUGACAACAUGAAAUAUUCAAUACUACACAUAAACUGAAUUUUAGUUGAAGACAAAACAGAUUCACAACACCUUUUUAUCAUUAAAUAUAUGAAAUCCACAUGUGUCUCAUAGGUUGGAUAAUAGAACCUUUAUGUAGUUAAUACAUCAAACUUAAGCAUUCAGCUUACAUACAAAGAAGAAAAAGCCAAGCAAACAAGAACAAUCCAACCAAAAUAUAACAGGUAACUCCAAAUGGAACAAGCCUGAUAUUUUCAUAUAACUCAAAAACAGCAGCAGGUUUACAUACCUAAGAAACAGCAAGGAGCAAAAGAACACAAGGGCAAAAAGAUAAAUCUCUGAAUUUGGGGACAACUAAACCCAGAAUCUCACAACAGCUUGAUUCAAAGAAUAAGCAAACUCAACAACCAAAACAGUAAAUUCCAGCAGAAAUCUGAUGUUAAAAUCAGUAGAGAAGAUCCAGAUUGAAUUCUGAAAUUUUCUGUCUAAGUAUUUGUGUGUGCCUAUUUUGAGAGUGAAUAUGUUGAAAAGAAUCCCUCCCCUUAUGAGUGAGGGUUAUUUCUUUAUAUAGAGUGUAAGAAAAAUGCAUAAGGGUAGGAAUAAUAGAGAAUAUUUUCUCCUAAAAAUCAGAAAUGCCAACUGUAAAUAAGAAUAGUACAACAUUUGUUUUCAACAGACUUGGAACAACUGUCCUUUUUACCAAUUUUCAGCAUCUAUCCACACCAAAAAAGGGACAACUAUCCAAUACUAGAACCUUCUGAUAUUUUUACCUAAAGUUUAUCUAUUCUUACUUUCAAAUUAACCCCUUUAAGUUCUGCUUAACACAAAUAAACACCCUAGUUUUUUGUUUUAUAUGCCCUAAACUUCCUUAUUCUCUU